Molecule: ribosomal RNA, 491 nt
Filed under: uncultured bacterium
Lineage: Bacteria
Description: bacterial SSU rRNA
Rfam family: Bacterial small subunit ribosomal RNA
Source: RNAcentral
GUGGCGCACGGGUGAGUAAUGUAUAGGUAAUAUGCCUCUUACUAAGGGAUAACAAAUGGAAACGUUUGCUAAUACCUUAUACUCCUUAUUAACCUAAGUUAAUAAGGGAAAGAUUUAUUGGUAAGAGAUUAGCCUGUAUUGUAUCAGUUAGUUGGUGGGGUAAUGGCCUACCAAGACUAUGACACAUAACUGGUUUGAGAGGAUGAUCAGUCACACUGGAACUGAGACACGGUCCAGACUCCUACGGGAGGCAGCAGUGGGGAAUAUUGCACAAUGGACGAAAGUCUGAUGCAGCAACGCCGCGUGGAGGAUGACACAUUUCGGUGCGUAAACUCCUUUUAUAUGAGAAGAUAAUGACGGUAUUAUAUGAGUAAGCACCGGCUAACUCCGUGCCAGCAGCCGCGGUAAUACGGGGGGUGCAAGCGUUACUCGGAAUCACUGGGCGUAAAGAGCAUGUAGGCGGAUUAAUAAGUUUGAAGUGAAAUCCUAUA